Molecule: ribosomal RNA, 253 nt
Filed under: uncultured bacterium
Lineage: Bacteria
Description: partial 16S ribosomal RNA
Rfam family: Bacterial small subunit ribosomal RNA
Source: RNAcentral
UACAGAGGGUGCAAGCGUUAAUCGGAAUUACUGGGCGUAAAGCGCGCGUAGGUGGUUUGUUAAGUUGGAUGUGAAAUCCCCGGGCUCAACCUGGGAACUGCAUUCAAAACUGACAAGCUAGAGUAUGGUAGAGGGUGGUGGAAUUUCCUGUGUAGCGGUGAAAUGCGUAGAUAUAGGAAGGAACACCAGUGGCGAAGGCGACCACCUGGACUGAUACUGACACUGAGGCAUGAAAGCGUGGGGAGCAAACAGG